AGCAGUAGCCGCGGUAAUACAGAGGGUGCAAGCGUUAAUCGGAAUUACUGGGCGUAAAGCGCGCGUAGGUGGUUUGUUAAGUUGGAUGUGAAAGCCCCGGGCUCAACCUGGGAACUGCAUCCAAAACUGGCAAGCUAGAGUACGGUAGAGGGUGGUGGAAUUUCCUGUGUAGCGGUGAAAUGCGUAGAUAUAGGAAGGAACACCAGUGGCGAAGGCGACCACCUGGACUGAUACUGACACUGAGGUGCGAAAGCGUGGGGAGCAAACAGGAUUAGAUACCCGUGUAGUCCCUGUCUCUUAUAC
RNAcentral lists this ribosomal RNA (303 nucleotides) under uncultured bacterium. RNAcentral describes it as "partial 16S ribosomal RNA". It matches the Rfam family "Bacterial small subunit ribosomal RNA", at positions 507 to 807 of the family's 1533-position model. The record is from RNAcentral.